UGUGGGAGCGAGCCUGCUCGCGAUAGCGUCGGAUCAGCCAACAUCAAUGUUGACUGGUUUAUCGCUAUCGCGAGCAGGCUCGCUCCCACA
This 90-nucleotide unclassified non-coding RNA is filed under the name Pseudomonas sp. A214. The record is from RNAcentral. Lineage: Bacteria; Pseudomonadati; Pseudomonadota; Gammaproteobacteria; Pseudomonadales; Pseudomonadaceae.